This 309-nucleotide small RNA is filed under the name Bacillus altitudinis. RNAcentral describes it as "BsrG". It matches the Rfam family "BsrG". From Rfam's summary of the family: bsrE, bsrG and bsrH pair through intermolecular interactions with antisense sRNAs. SR4 interaction with the 3'UTR of bsrG RNA promotes bsrG degradation and inhibits its translation. RNAcentral also lists the same sequence under 1 other name. Lineage: Bacteria; Bacillati; Bacillota; Bacilli; Caryophanales; Bacillaceae. The record is from RNAcentral.
UACAAUUUAAUUGAACGGCUUACUCAAGGGCGGUCUGGCUCAUCCCCGUUAGAAAGGGGGUGAUGCUCAUGUCAGCAUUUGAAGCGAUUAGUUUGAUGAUUGCUUUUGGGAUUUUUACCGUAAGCAUUCUGACUUUCGUCGUGACACUGUUGGCACUGUUAAAAAAGAAAAAAUAGACCACCCUUGAGCUCCUGAGAAAAGUUAAAGGGUAAGGUCUAUUUCAAAAGAUCUUUCUAGCUUAAGGACCAAGCCAGCCCUCUUGAUGGGCCAAAAAUUGUACAUUGGAGUCAGGAUGUUUGCGCAUCCUGG